Betta splendens (Siamese fighting fish) is the source of this 1972-nucleotide long non-coding RNA. RefSeq lists it as uncharacterized. The transcript has 2 exons. Lineage: Eukaryota; Metazoa; Chordata; Actinopteri; Anabantiformes; Osphronemidae. The record is from RefSeq and is a predicted model, not a curated record.
AUCCAAACUGUUACGGGUGAGUAUUAAUUUGCUAAGAAAAUGAUGCGGGGUUUUAUUUUGGUAACCGCGUAUUUUUUUUAGGGAACGAAGAAGAAGAGGGAGCAGGAGCAGGUGGAGGCUAACGCUAGGAGUGCGCACGAAGACAAACCCAGACGCUGCGCACCCAUAGCUUAGCUGCUGGGAGCGACAGACUGUCGGUCUGGAAGAGCAGAGGACUGUGUGGCGGCGGAGGCGAAAGUUUGAGCGGUAACGGGAGUUAGCAGCGCAGGACGGCAGCAGCUAGCUAACGCAGCCGGAGCAUGCGUCGUGGCAUCAGGGAGGAGGAGGAACCCAGGGCAAUGAUGAAAUGCUGCUACAUGAACGUCUCCUUACCCAGAGCAGAGCUCCUGACCCAACAUGUGGAGGCGCCUUCCUUCAUGUGAAGUCGAGACCAACAAGGGCACGCAGGCAGAGGUUAGAGCAGCAUGGAGCAGCGCUGGCGACAUGAGGAUGCAGAAGAAACACAGGUCUCUGGGUUAUAACGGCCACUCCUGCUGCCUGCACCAAGCUGUGACCUCAUCGGGCUCUGUACUACCAAUGGGGAUGCAACUCUUACACACUCAGACGCAGACACACACCACCUUCCUGUUUGUCAGUGCUGGUGGUAAACUUUCCACUGACGGCUUCAUUCAGGUGCCGAUGAGGCGUUCGUGCGUUUUGUCUUAAAAAGUAAAACACAUGUGAACUGCAUUUCAAAAACUUUAUUUGGACAAAUGUCAUCACGCAAUGUGAGACGGCGCUUGCGUGUGUGUGGGUGCGUGGGUGGGUGGAAGAGAAAGAUGAAAUUUUGCAACUGCGGAACAAGGCGAGCAAACUAAAACCUCUUAAACUUCUGCAAGACAUAAAAAAUACAAGUUUUCAAAAGUCUGACAGCUGAAUAUUUAACACACGCUGAACUAGAAUCAAAAUGCUGCCGACGAGCUUCCUGAUAUUCUUAGCUCUCGCACGUCUUUUCACUGUCCUUCUCACGCCUCCUCUCUCAGAAAUAGAUGCCUCUCGGGGGUCAAUAUCUGCCUAAUAGGCUGCUGGUUCGUAAUUGUCCAUCAGCCUCAUCAAAUGUGUGUCAAUCACGCUUUACCGCGGCUGACGUCUUGACAGCUGUCAGAGUGAUAAUUAUGGAAAGUGAUGGAAGAUAUCAAGGUUACUUUCCAUGAGAAGAGGACAACCACAAUAUCCUUCCUGUUCAUUGUCAAAGUGUAGGUAAUGUGUCAUUCUGUGUCGAAAUGUUUGAUAGAGGAAAAAAUAUUCAGCCUGAGUAAUUACUUCAUUUGCUUUGUGUUAAUAACGGUAUUUUUAAAUGGGUCUGUCUCUACUGUAGCUCAUUAAAUAUAUGGUAACUUUAAAUGAACUGAUGCAUUAUGACACAUUAAAACCUCCAUUUCACUUUUAUUAAAUAUACUCAAAUAAAAAAAAUCAUGCUGCAGAAGAAGCAACACACAACGACUCGGUCUGUAACACAAUCAGUGGAUUUUCAGUGCACAACAUGACUAACGAGCUGCACUCAGCACUAAGCACAAACUGUACAGGAGCAGAUGGUGAGACAACGAUAGCAACCAACAGUACUUGGAGUUUACACACGUCUCAAUUUCAUCCUAGUCCCUCAACGUUGUACAAUAAAUACUAUAAAUUGAUCAUUUGUAAAAGGGAAUAUCAUAUUAAUGGAGGAGUCACUCAACCGUGUUUUCAAAAUGCACCUUGAUGUCGCCCUGCAUCACAUAAGCACGCUGUUGAAAGCGAUCGGACCCGGUGACAGACACCGGCAUAAUUAUCCUACAAAGGACGAGGCGAUAAUAAAUAGGCACCAGUUGUUACAAGCAUUUCUUAAUCAUUUAAAUACUGACACAUAGUAAAAAAUAUCAGGCACGAACAGGUCACUUUCUGGAAGUGGAUGCUCCUCACGAAUCCCUUGUUAAACGAGCGACUCCAUCACAAA